UACGGAGGAUGCGAGCGUUAUCCGGAUUUAUUGGGUUUAAAGGGUGCGCAGGCGGAAUGUCAAGUCAGCGGUAAAAUUUCGGGGCUCAACCCCGUCGUGCCGUUGAAACUGGCGUUCUUGAGUGGAAGAGAAGUAUGCGGAAUGCGUGGUGUAGCGGUGAAAUGCAUAGAUAUCACGCAGAACCCCGAUUGCGAAGGCAGCAUGCCGGCUUCCGACUGACGCUGAAGCACGAAAGCGUGGGGAUCGAACAGG
This 252-nucleotide ribosomal RNA is filed under the name uncultured Bacteroidales bacterium. RNAcentral's name for it is "partial 16S ribosomal RNA". It matches the Rfam family "Bacterial small subunit ribosomal RNA", at positions 524 to 776 of the family's 1533-position model. Lineage: Bacteria; Pseudomonadati; Bacteroidota; Bacteroidia; Bacteroidales. The record is from RNAcentral.